RNAcentral lists this ribosomal RNA (509 nucleotides) under uncultured fungus. RNAcentral describes it as "SSU rRNA". It matches the Rfam family "Eukaryotic small subunit ribosomal RNA", at positions 569 to 1078 of the family's 1831-position model. The record is from RNAcentral. Lineage: Eukaryota; Fungi.
AGCAGCCGCGGUAAUUCCAGCUCCAAUAGCGUAUAUUAAAGUUGUUGCAGUUAAAAAGCUCGUAGUUGAAUUUCGGGGUCAGUAGGUCGGUCGUGCCACUGGUAUGAACUGGUUUUACUGAUUCCUCCCUCUUGAAGAACUGUAAUGCCAUUAAUUAGGUGUUGCAGGGAAUCAGGACUGUUACUUUGAAAAAAUUAGAGUGUUUAAAGCAGGCUUUAGCUUGAAUACAUUAGCAUGGAAUAAUGAAAUAGGACGUUUGAUCCUAUUUUGUUGGUUUCUAGGAUUGACGUAAUGAUUAAUAGGGAUAGUUGGGGGCAUUAGUAUUCAAUUGUCAGAGGUGAAAUUCUUGGAUUUAUUGAAGACUAACUACUGCGAAAGCAUUUGCCAAGGAUGUUUUCGUUAAUCAAGAACGAAAGUUAGGGGAUCGAAGACGAUCAGAUACCGUCGUAGUCUUAACCAUAAACUAUGCCGACUAGGGAUCGGAUGAUGUUAAUUUUUUAAUGAGCUCA